UGGGGAAUAUUGCACAAUGGAGGGAACUCUGAUGCAGCGACGCCGCGUGAACGAAGAAGGCUUUCGAGUCGUAAAGUUCUUUUAUAUGGGAAGAUAAUGACGGUACCAUAAGAAAAAGCCCCGGCUAACUACGUGCCAGCAGCCGCGGUAAUACGUAGGGGGCUAGCGUUGUCCGGAAUCACUGGGCGUAAGGGGUUCGCAGGCGGAAAUGCAAGUCAGGUGUAAAAGGCAGUAGCUUAACUACUGUAAGCAUUUGAAACUGCAUAUCUUGAGAAGAGUAGAGGUAAGUGGAAUUUUUAGUGUAGCGAUGAAAUGCGUAGAUAUUAAAAAGAAUACCGGUGGCGAAGGCGACUUACUGGGCUCAUUCUGACGCUGAGGAACGAAAGCGUGGGUAGCAAACAGG
This 403-nucleotide ribosomal RNA is filed under the name Verrucomicrobiota bacterium. RNAcentral describes it as "Verrucomicrobia bacterium partial 16S ribosomal RNA". It matches the Rfam family "Bacterial small subunit ribosomal RNA", at positions 355 to 776 of the family's 1533-position model. Lineage: Bacteria; Pseudomonadati; Verrucomicrobiota. The record is from RNAcentral.